UCAAUCUGGAGCUAAAUUGUUGGUUUGGAGAUUGGAUCUGGAGCAGAGCUGGAGCUAAACUAAAGGUUACUUGAAGGCUAAGCAACCGGAGAUUUAACUUGAAGAAGGGAGAUUUAUUGAGAGAAUAUUUCGAAAAAACUUUGUACAAGAUUUGGAAAUAUUCCAUAAAGGAAGAUUGAGAAUAUAUCUUCCUUGUAGAGUUGACUAGUAUCAUCCACGAAACUACUAAGUAUAAGUAGGUUGUGUUGAGCUUUGUAUGAGCUUAUCACAGAGAAAGUAUUUUAGUUAAAAAGGGUUCAGAACUUGAUAGGUGAGUGAAACACAAAGGGCUAAAUGAGAGAAGUUCUAAGGUUUUGUUUUUCUGUUUAAUCUUGUAAGUUCACUUUGAAAAAAAUCUAGUGAUCCAUAACAAUGUUAAGCCGGUCCUGUCUGCGUGAGAUCUAUCUUGCACUCACAAUGAAGUCCCCUGCAUGCUGCAUAAGUGGACAGCGGCUGACAACUAUCCUGAGCAGAAGAUCUCUUUUGCUCUAUUGUUUUGAUAUUCUGUUUUUCAUAUCGUUUUUAGAUGCUAUGUUUUUUUUACUAGUUUUGUCCUGCUAGUGGUUUCAGUGCCUUGCUCAGACCUGUAGGAUCCUAAGUCAAUUUAAAAAAAAAGAAUUGUAUAUGUAUAAUUUCUUAAAAAUAUAUAUAUAUACAAGCAAACACUACAUAAAACUUGAAUAUCCACUAAGCACUGCCUGAUUGGUUUGAUCAAAGCCGUAACUGAAAUUGACUGGUUUCUGUAGAAAAAAGUGUCAUCCAUUGUUAAAUAAAAGUGAAGUAGAGACCGUUGGAUUAGUUUUAUCCAUUCAUAUAAGGUAAAGACAGCAAACAAAAGGAAAUUAUCCAUUGAAAUUGUUUAAAAUAAAACACAGAUUACACUUAUUGCUUCCACUUUCCAUUAUCUAAAAUAUUCCAAAUAUUUAUCAUAGAAUAUCAACAACAAAGCACCACCCCUCUUCGACUGGUCAAUGUUGUUGAUGAGAAUUUGGAGUCAAAUCACAUCUGUUACCACAGAUCAAGAUGAAUGUAAGUGUAGAUUUUGAAUGAGUUUUAGAAGUUAACAUGAGAUGAUAAAGUUGCAGACCCAAAGUGUUGAGAAGUUCAAGAACAUCCUGGCGUACGAUAUAUACUAGGUGAAAGUACCAGAUGGAGUCACCAGAAGUGAAUGUUGGUUGGAUGAUGUGAGUGAAGAUGCAUAGUUCACGUGAGUGGAGAUGCAAAGUUCUGACAUACAUCUUGUAUCAGUUGGAAGUGCAGCAUGAUCUACAUCAAAAUUGAAGAAUGACAAAAUCAAUCUGGAGCUAAAUUGUUGGUUUGGAGAUUGGAUCUGGAGCAGAGCUGGAGCUAAACUAAAGGUUACUUGAAGGCUAAGCAACCGGAGAUUUAACUUGAAGAAGGGAGAUUUAUUGAGAGAAUAUUUCGAAAAAACUUUGUACAAGAUUUGGAAAUAUUCCAUAAAGGAAGAUUGAGAAUAUAUCUUCCUUGUAGAGUUGACUAGUAUCAUCCACGAAACUACUAAGUAUAAGUAGGUUGUGUUGAGCUUUGUAUGAGCUUAUCACAGAGAAAGUAUUUUAGUUAAAAAGGGUUCAGAACUUGAUAGGUGAGUGAAACACAAAGGGCUAAAUGAGAGAAGUUCUAAGGUUUUGUUUUUCUGUUUAAUCUUGUAAGUUCACUUUGAAAAAAAUCUAGUGAUCCAUAACAAUGUUAAGCCGGUC
This 1757-nucleotide long non-coding RNA is filed under the name Brassica napus (rape). RNAcentral describes it as "long non-coding RNA (BNAP_LNC010153)". Lineage: Eukaryota; Viridiplantae; Streptophyta; Magnoliopsida; Brassicales; Brassicaceae. The record is from RNAcentral.